UACAGAGGUCCCAAGCGUUGUUCGGAUUCAUUGGGCGUAAAGGGUGCGUAGGCUGUGCAGAAAGUUGGGUGUGAAAUACCUCGGCUUAACCGAGGAAUUGCGCCCAAAACUACUGUGCUCGAGGAAGAUAGAGGUGAGCGGAACUUAGGGUGGAGCGGUGAAAUGCGUUGAUAUCCUAAGGAACACCGGUGGCGAAAGCGGCUCACUGGAUCUUAUCUGACGCUGAGGCACGAAAGCCAGGGUAGCAAACGGG
This 253-nucleotide ribosomal RNA is filed under the name uncultured prokaryote. Its description in RNAcentral is "partial 16S ribosomal RNA". It matches the Rfam family "Bacterial small subunit ribosomal RNA", at positions 524 to 776 of the family's 1533-position model. The record is from RNAcentral.